UCAUAUACCCAGCCACAACCACGAUAACAUCAUGUUAUUUAAUGACACACAACCAUUCCACUCAGAAGCUGUCCACACACAGUACACUAUCCGGAGAAAAAAAGUAUGCGAGAAUAUCUAAAUUAAACCUACAUAUAAGGCAAGAAAUUCAAAAGGUGCAAACAUAAUUGCUGAUCGAAGCCAGGGAGAAAGACAACCCAAUUUAAUGAAGGAGAAGAUGAGAUGGACUGCGAAGAGAGAGUCGCCGGAACGGGACCAACAGAGAUGAAGUCCAUGGCAAGAUGAGUGAAAAUAUGAAGUCGCAAUAGAUAAGGCUUAGGUUUUUUUAUUGGGAAAGUAGAGGUUAGAGGGUGAGAGGAUGGUUUGGAUAGAUGACUAGGCAAAAGAUAUAGAAGUGCAUAUAUAAUGAUAAUAAUACAUAAUUACAUAUAUAAAUGAAUAAAUAAAUGAUAUAAUAUUAAUAGGAGUGAUACGGUACGGUAUACCAUUGGUAAUGGUUUUGAAUACCAUUACUGUACUGAAAAUGUAUGGUACAGUACAAAUAGCGUACCAUUACCACCAAAUUUUUUGGCACAACUUUGGUAUGAUAAUUUGGCAAAAAAAUUCACCCCUACGCAUGCACAGCGCGGACAAAUAAGUAAUUCUAUUGUGCCAAGGACGGAAAACAACGGAGAACAGAGAAGCAAAUAAGGGCAUUACCGCCAUUUCACUGUUCACAAACAGUGAAAAACAGUGCUAGGAAAAACCCAAUUUUAAUAUAUGUAUAAUUUUCCAUUAGAAAAUGUUAUCUUUUUCUUGUCGAAUGAAUAUAAGUAUUACAAAUAUUCACUGUCGACAACGGAGAUGGCUACCACAUAAGA
Molecule: long non-coding RNA, 860 nt
Filed under: Malus domestica (apple)
Lineage: Eukaryota; Viridiplantae; Streptophyta; Magnoliopsida; Rosales; Rosaceae
Description: long non-coding RNA (MDOM_LNC014603)
Source: RNAcentral